Molecule: long non-coding RNA, 1198 nt
Organism: Panicum hallii
Lineage: Eukaryota; Viridiplantae; Streptophyta; Magnoliopsida; Poales; Poaceae
Exons: 5
Source: RefSeq, a predicted model, not a curated record
CAAGAAAAAAACCUGCAGUCCCUGCACUACACGUUCCAUCGUCGCCUCCUUCGGCCUGUCGCCCCCUCCACUCCCCUCCCCAGUCUACGGCCUGCGUGCGCCGGCGCCGCCGCUCCCGACCGCCGCCUCCCCGACGACCCCCGCGCCCGUUCGACUGGGAUCCCUCCCCGCCGCGCCGCCCGAGCUCCGCCCUUGGGCCCAGGUGCGGAAGUGCAUGGUGGAGCAUCUCCCUUUCCCCGCUGAGGGGGAACUUGAGAAUCUGGGGCAUCAUCAGUACACUUGACCUGGUGAGAUUAAGGACUUCAUCGACAAAGGUCAAGCAGAAUGGGUGGUACCGAACACAGCAUACGCGUUGCUCAGCAAUGCUGAAGCUUUCUGGGAGGAUAUCAAGGAUGGCAGCCGCUUCCACGGUGGUUAUGCCAUUGUGAAGACCGAGAUCUAUGCUGCUGAAAUAGGUCAUCAAGCAGGUUACUCAGAAAACAGUGAGGUGAUCGCCACUGAGAGAAGAAUGAGAAAACCUAACAGUGAGGUAGAACCAGGCAAAAAUGAAACCAUCACACUUGACAGGUUUGAUGUUUCCGGACAGCUUUGGUUUAGGAGGAGAUACCAAAACCCACAUACAGUUUCGUCCAAUGGAUGGAUGGUAAAGCAGCCAGGCUUAAAGAGAAGCCUACAUCAAUCAAGAUAUCAGAUAUCUGUGCUUGGAUCGAAACAAUGGAUGAAGCAUUGAGGUGUAUCCAGAAAGAUGUAAGUGAAGUGAAGGAUUUGAUAAAAAAAACUACACCACUCUGGUGGGUGCAAAUUUGGCACAGGCUGAGGUCAUUAAGGAAUUUGUCAAAGAACAGACUUCAACAACUGCUUCCCUUACUCGUGACCUGACCAGUUUAAGGAAUGAGCUCAGAAUUGUUGGACCAUGAUGAACUAGACUUCAACUUGUUGCAGACAAUCGAAGCCUCCAAGGUGGUGUCUGGUGACAGCGGUUACGUUUCGCAGGUGUUUGCAGCAGCGUUUUAUCCUUUCUUAAUUCAAUCAAAGAGCCGAACCUGGAUCUUGGUUAUUGGAACUUGUUAAUCCAACAGAUGUAAAUGGCACGCAGAGUUGGUAGAUUACCCUACUAUUGCUUUUACUUCCGUCAUGAUGAUGUCUGAAUUUUAUCAUCUAAAAUUCUAAAUGGAAAUUGUGUGACAGAAUUGGUGAA